AGGGCGCCGCGUACGUCUGGCCCAAUUUCCGCCUUAUUUUUGCUCUACGAGUGCUCUAUCUUGUACCCUUGUAGUACAUAUUUCUAGUAUCUUCCCUGACUGACAACGAUAAGCAACAAACAUAGCGCGGGGUUGUGUACGGAGGCCUAGGCUAGUAAGGAUGAACAAUUCCAUUCUAUAUCUGCUACUUCUGGUGUUCGCAGUGCAAUGUUGCAGUGGACAAACAAGAACAGCCAGAACUACUAUUACUGAAAGCGUAUAUUACGAGACCAUUGCAUCUAGCCAAGUUUCCCUUGUUUAUUUUUAUGUGUCCAGCUCAAAUGAUGAGUAUAUGAACUUUCUAGAUGGCUUCUACGAAGCAUCAGACUAUCUUAAAGAUUUUAAGAUAAAACUUUCUGUGGUAAGUACUGCAUAGUACAUUUAUUAGGUUUGCCCAUACUAUCAAAUUUUAU
Long non-coding RNA from Anneissia japonica, 452 nucleotides. RefSeq lists it as uncharacterized. Lineage: Eukaryota; Metazoa; Echinodermata; Crinoidea; Comatulida; Comatulidae. The record is from RefSeq and is a predicted model, not a curated record. The transcript has 3 exons.